RNAcentral lists this ribosomal RNA (446 nucleotides) under uncultured bacterium. RNAcentral's name for it is "partial 16S ribosomal RNA". It matches the Rfam family "Bacterial small subunit ribosomal RNA", at positions 338 to 795 of the family's 1533-position model. The record is from RNAcentral.
CCUACGGGUGGCUGCAGUCGAGAAUCAUUCACAAUGGGGGAAACCCUGAUGGUGCGACGCCGCGUGGGGGAAUGAAGGUCUUCGGAUUGUAAACCCCUGUCAUGUGGGAGCAAAUUAAAAAGUUAGUACAACAAGCGGAAGCGACGGCUAACUCUGUGCCAGCAGUCGCGGUAAUACGGCGGUCUUAAGCGUUGUUCGGAAUCACUGGGCGUAAAGCGUGCGUAGGCUGUUUCGUAAGUCGUGUGUGAAAGGCGCGGGCUCAACCCGCGGACUGAACAUGUUACUGCGAGACUAGAGUAAUGGAGAGGGAGCCGGAAUUCUCGGUGUAGCAGUGAAAUGCGUAGAGAUCGAGAGGAACACUCGUGGCGAAGGCGGGUUCCUGGACAUUAACUGACGCUGAGGCACGAAGGCCAGGGGAGCGAAAGGGAUUAGAUACCCGAGUAGUC